RNAcentral lists this long non-coding RNA (222 nucleotides) under Pelobates cultripes (western spadefoot toad). The record is from RNAcentral. Lineage: Eukaryota; Metazoa; Chordata; Amphibia; Anura; Pelobatidae.
CCUACUUACAAGCAGAUGAGGAUGAUGAUGGGCUGCAGUUUGGCUCCACUGGUCUGGUGUAGAACAGGAUCUCUGGAGGAUGUUUGCAACUGUGGUCACAAAAUUCAAUGUUCUGGGAGAAUUGGAAGCAGCUCAAUUUUUUGGGGCCCCUUACACAGCUCAAGGUCUGGGCCCCAGGGCCUGACGGUGAGUAUGCCCAUAAGGCCCACUCAUAAGUUCCAC